RNAcentral lists this long non-coding RNA (660 nucleotides) under Mus musculus (house mouse). Its description in RNAcentral is "long non-coding RNA chr1:15570582-15571242". Lineage: Eukaryota; Metazoa; Chordata; Mammalia; Rodentia; Muridae. The record is from RNAcentral.
UUUCUUUUCCUAGAAUUCUCGAGUCCAUCUUUAGGAGUGAUGAAAGCCACCAAGAGAAUAAUUCUGCCUUGCUGUUUUUUUUCUUCAUUCUCUGGAAAGAAAAUAAAGUUAAUUUAGUGAGUGAUUCAUAUAAAAUAUAAAAAAAAUCAACAUGAAAAAUACUCUGGAUUGUUAAUAAAGACAAUUUUCUUCUUUUUUGGCCCCACUGGAAGAUGGUACCAUUUAAUUAGUUAUUUUUCUGGCAUUCUGUUUUAUGUGAUUAGAGAUGCUUGCAAUGAAUAAGAACUGUUUUUUAUGUUAAUGUAUUUCCCAAACCUCUGGUAUAUUGUCUGCUUGGCCUGGUAACUUAGUUUCCAGAAAUCUGGUUUUCUUUGGUUUAACAGCCUUUGGCACAUGGUAGGGAGGAGGUAAUCUGCUCACCCAUUCAUUGUUGUAUGCCCAGUGUGCACUUGCCAGUGCUGGAGAAGCAGAAUGAGGCACGUCACAGGGUUAAGAUUUCCUGAGACAUUUCCCCAUAACCAGCAUACUGAAAAGGGCAAUUCCAUUUUUAAAUUCUGGAGGUUUUCCAUAUUGAAAUGUGACUUGGAGACACAGAAAGGUCACUAGUUUGUUGCAAAAAUAAAGUUGUUCAUAAUUAAAUAUGAAAUGGGAUGAAAACUG